Molecule: long non-coding RNA, 483 nt
Organism: Triticum aestivum (bread wheat)
Lineage: Eukaryota; Viridiplantae; Streptophyta; Magnoliopsida; Poales; Poaceae
Exons: 3
Source: RefSeq, a predicted model, not a curated record
GAACAGAGUCCAGCUCGCGCACGACGCCGCCGCCGCGUCCGAACUUCAUGGGAUCCCUAUCCCGAGUCAACCCCUUCUCCAAGGAAUCAUGUCCUAUAAAUAGCGACGACCCUCCGCUUCCGAUUCCCCUCGAAACCCCUCGCCAAGUCCACCUCUACAACACGUCCUCGCCGUUCCAAUCUGACCGCAGAAGCUAUAGUUCAUCGCUGGAUUCCGACGCCGGUCGUCUUCGCCGGAGCACGUGGAGCACCGAUCUUCGUCACCUCUCCCCGCAGCCGUCUGACGUCCCCAAUACACUCUGCCGCCAGCCCUGGGACCGCAACACUCCGCCUCAUCCCCUAGACUCCACCGCCACGCCGAAGAUCGUCGGAGCCGCUGCCCCACCGAUCGAACCAAAGCCGCCCCAACACCUCAUUCUUUUCUAUCAUCCGGAGUGCAAAGCUUGCUACUACGAAUCCCUAGAGUUUAACGAUCGUCAACAAG